RNAcentral lists this long non-coding RNA (1029 nucleotides) under Numida meleagris (helmeted guineafowl). RNAcentral describes it as "lncRNA (ENSNMEG00000000966.1)". The record is from RNAcentral. Lineage: Eukaryota; Metazoa; Chordata; Aves; Galliformes; Numididae.
AAUGACAAGAAGUGUCCACACGAUGGCAGCAGAGACCGUGAAAUAAAAUGAGGUGUAAUUACAAGAAGUGUCCACACGGUGGCAGCAGAGAGAGCGGAAUUAAAUUAAGUUUAUUGACGUUAAUUGGAUGUUGAGUGCUGGGACAGUGGGUGAUUAGCUGGUUGUAAGAGAACGCGAGGAUUGAAUGGAAUCAAGUCCAAGUGUGGGACGGGAUGUGUGGGACUGGAUGUGUGGGUCCAGGAAUGUGUGGGGCUGGAUGUGUGGGUCCAGGAAUGUGUGGGGCUGGAGGUCUUGGGUGUGGGGCUGAAGGACCUAUUUGUGGGGCUGGAGAACAUUUGUGUGCGGCGGGACGUGUGGGUCCAGGGACGUGUGGGUCCAGGGACGUGUGGGCCCAGGGACGUGUGGGCCCAGGGACGUGUGGGCCCAGGGACGUGUGGGAGGCUGGAUGUGUGGGUCCUGAUCUAUGGGGCUGGAUGUGUGCGGCUGGAUGUAUGGGUCCAGGAAUGUGUGGGUCCCGGAAUGUGUGGGGCCGCAUCUAUGAUGGUGGAUCUAUGGGGCUGGAUGUGUGGGUCCAGAUCUAUGGGGCUGGAUGCGUGGGGCAGGAUCUGUGGGUCCGCAUGUGUGGGUCCAGGAAUGUGUGGGGCAGGAUCUAUGGGGCAGGAAUGUGUGGGGCUGCAUGUGUGGGUCCAGGAAUGUGUGGGCCCAGGAGUGGGUUGAUUGAGAUCUAUGGUGCUGCAGGUGUGGGGCAGGAGGACCUUGUUGUGGGGCUGGAAGACACUGGAGGUGUGGGGCUGGAGGUGUGGGGCUAUACACGCUGUACUCUAAAUGUAAUAAAUCUACACGAUAUCCACUACAUAUACACAAAAAAAUACACAGAAUUCUCUCAAUAUACACAAUAUAAAAGAAGGAAACACUCCAUAUACACCAUGUGCACUCAAUAUAGAUGAUGUGCACUCACUAUACACCAUGAACACUGAAUAGACAUGAUACACUAACUACACACUACAUACACACCAUGUACACACUACA